This 22-nucleotide unclassified non-coding RNA is filed under the name Dictyostelium discoideum. The record is from RNAcentral. Lineage: Eukaryota; Evosea; Eumycetozoa; Dictyosteliales; Dictyosteliaceae.
UUUUAAAACUAGAUUGUUGCUC